GUUAAGGGUGAUUUCUGACAGUUCGGAUUUCAGCGAAGCCCGGGACCUGAGCCAUCGAGGUCGGAGCGGACCACAGAUGACGUGAGCCUCGCCCCUCCCUGGUUUCCACCUCGAGGAGGUCCCAAGAACACCCCAAUGACCAGACACGAGAGAGAGGAGUCUUUUAAAGAAGAAGAAGAAGAAGAAAAAGAAGAGAAAAGAAAAAGAAAAAGCCUGAAACCAAACCAAUCAGCUUUGAGAUGAAUCAAAAAUGACUAAAUUUUAUUUGAGCCAAAACAAGUUUUAAAAAAUCCCAAUAAAAAUACAUGCUACAGGUACAGAGAGUAGUUGAUGGAGAAAUUAACUGCUCAUCAUUUUACCGAAUCAAUUUCCCUACAGAGAAAUUAAUGUGAUUUGUCUAUUUAUUUGUUCCUGAACACUAAUGUAAAACUAUGUAAGCAAACAAGUCUAGCUUCUGUCUAAAACAAAAAUAAAUGGUCUUUUUUUUUUUUUUUUAAGAUAUUGUCAAUUGAAAAUGAAAUGUGUA
Carassius gibelio (silver crucian carp) is the source of this 526-nucleotide long non-coding RNA. RefSeq lists it as uncharacterized. The transcript has 3 exons. The record is from RefSeq and is a predicted model, not a curated record. Lineage: Eukaryota; Metazoa; Chordata; Actinopteri; Cypriniformes; Cyprinidae.